GGCCGGGCGGGGGGGCCCUCCCUCCCCAACGCGGCCUGGAGCCCCUUCGGCUCAGGCACCAGGUUUUCCUUGCUGGUUCUGGAGCACUUCCGGAGAAGCUGUUUUGGAUUAGUUCUCCAUUGUAAAAUGCAGGGUGUCCUAAAGAUGGAUAUAGAGGACUGCAAUGGACGCUCUUACAUAUCUGAUGCCUUGAGUUACAGUUCAGAGGAAAAGGCAAGAUAUGAAUUAACAACAAAUACUACUGCCAUCACCAAACAUGGAAUAUGAGAAAUCCGUGAUUUAGAAACCAUAGGUAGUGGAGAUUCCUCUUUGGAAAAGGAGUUCACCUCCACCAUUGUGGGGCCAACAGUGAGCACACCAAACAGCCAACACUCCUCCCCAAGCCGCUCCCUUAGUGGUGAGUAUUUAAUCUUGGGAUUCCAAUAAUUCACCCUGAAAAUGCAUUAUACUACGUUUUGACUGGGCUAGUGACCACAUUCAAAGGAAGACCAAUUUUCUGUUCUUGAGAUCUUCUUGCACCAGAGUACUAAAAAUGCCAAAACAAAGCACAACUGAAAUAGGUAGCAAGUUUACAUCUGGUCUUGAAUAAUAGACACUUCUUACUGUUAAGCAUGUUAGAAAAAAGCUAUCUCAUUGCCCAUGAAGGCUUUUAGAAGAGAUGAUCAACUUUUUUUAAACAGCAAAGUGACAUUCUUGAGAAAUUGGAGUACCAUACAAACCAUGCCACACUUUGCAAACUCCUAAUCUAAACCAAUAACUAUCUUUUCCAUUUGAUAAGACCAAGAUGUAAAAAUCAUGAAGUUCUCUGGAAAUUUUCAUAGGAUCAGAAUAUAGUGGAGCUAAGGGCUCUCAGGGUUGAAAUACUGGAACUUCAAAGGGAACCCCUUAGAUUUUAUUUGAAGACAUUGAAUCACUUUACAAUUCCUGUUACAUUAGAAAAGAAAAAGGCUGUUCAAGGCACUCUCUGUCAUAGUGAAUGGCAGCAGAUUGGAAUUGUUGACGGAAAGCAUUUACUGAUGUUGGCUUAUAUAAUGCAGAGAUUAGUUGGGGAAUUUAAAUACAAAGAGUACUAGGAAAAGACUAGUAUGCAUUAAUGGAUUCUAACUUGUUGCUGUCUGAAACUUCAGUCCUUGCUUGCUGUAAUUUAUAGUUAUUUUGUGUGUGAAAGAAACCAAAUUCUGUGGGAAAGUAUGAAGUUGCCAAAUUGUAGAAUGAACUUCUUGUUGUGGGUCUUCAGAUCUACUCUACCUUAUGGUGUCCUUCCCAUAGGGUUUGAUUAAGGCGGCUUGUUCACAUGAGAUUUGCCAUUGCCUUCCUCUGAAAUUGAGGGUGUAGACCUGUCUAGGGCCAUCCAGUGGGUUUCUAUAGUUGAGCGUGAUUCAGACCGAAUCAUCUGGGCUCUAAAACAAUCAAACUAGUAUACCAUGCUGGUAGAAUAACAGUUGUCUGCUUUUGGGAAUUGGAAAUAAUCCGUGUUUUUCAUUUGGUUUCUGCAUUACGUUGACUUUUUAUGAUUUUUCGCAUGAUAGAGCUGCAACAUCAUUUCUUACUCUGAAGUCUCUUGAUAUAUAUCCCAUCUGAUAGCCAGCUUGUAAAUGGUCACUUUGGAACCAAUGCAAGUAGAAGGGUGGGGUAUAAAAUAAAUAAAAACAAUUUCUUGGUUUUCAUCAUUUGGAAAAGAAUAUUCAGAAGUUCAUAUAAUGUGUUCUGCAUUUAGUUGAUUCCACAGAAAAUUAUCUGUUCUUUUGUUUGGUGUGAGAGACAAACUUGCUGAUUAAGUGAGCAUGCAGGAAAUAAAGAUGUUCCUCUUUAACAGGGAAACGCAGGCUCUUGGUGUUGCUUCUGAUCAGUCUUGAUUUCACAG
This 1864-nucleotide long non-coding RNA is filed under the name Anolis carolinensis (green anole). RNAcentral's name for it is "lncRNA (ENSACAG00000044773.1)". The record is from RNAcentral. Lineage: Eukaryota; Metazoa; Chordata; Lepidosauria; Squamata; Anolidae.